GUAAAAAAAAAUUGCUAUCAUCUUCACCUUCAACAUCCUAUUAUUCAUCCUUCAAAAUCCAGAAACACAACACAACUACCUCCUGAAAUUCCUGAAAUUGAUAGUGUAGUUGUUGAAAAACAAGAAGAGGGUUUGAAUGUGAUUGUGAAAAGAAGUAGAGAGAUAUUGAGGGAAGAAGUGAGAGACAAUAUUACACAAAUUGGGUCAGGAAGGUUCAGAGUUUGGUUAAGGCUUUUGAGAAGUUUUUGUUUGAACCUAAGAAUGAGGGUGAUGAUCGAUAAGAGGAGGAGGAGAAGGAAUCUGAAUCUUGGGUUGGAUCCACAUGCUUCCAUUUCGUCAUCCUGGGAUGUAUCUUGUGGAAGGUUUAAUUUUGCUUAA
This 378-nucleotide long non-coding RNA is filed under the name Medicago truncatula (barrel medic). Its description in RNAcentral is "lncRNA gene7828". Lineage: Eukaryota; Viridiplantae; Streptophyta; Magnoliopsida; Fabales; Fabaceae. The record is from RNAcentral.